GACGGAGGAUGCAAGCGUUAUCCGGAAUGAUUGGGCGUAAAGCGUCCGCAGGUGGCAGUUCAAGUCUGCUGUCAAAGACCGGGGCUUAACUUCGGAAAGGCAGUGGAAACUGAACAGCUAGAGUAUGGUAGGGGCAGAGGGAAUUCCUGGUGUAGCGGUGAAAUGCGUAGAGAUCAGGAAGAACAUCGGUGGCGAAGGCGACUUACUGGACGACUGUUGACACUGAGGUGCGAAAGCGUGGGGAGCAAACAGG
RNAcentral lists this ribosomal RNA (253 nucleotides) under uncultured bacterium. RNAcentral describes it as "partial 16S ribosomal RNA". It matches the Rfam family "Bacterial small subunit ribosomal RNA", at positions 524 to 776 of the family's 1533-position model. The record is from RNAcentral.